UGUCACAAGAGCAGAGUAGAGGGGGAGAAUCACCUCCCUAAAAGUAAAGGCUUUACAUUCUGCUCCCCACCAUGCAGUGAUGUAAAACCCCACAGAGAUCCUGACUCAGUGGUACCCUGCAAGCAUAAACAUGGCAGCAUCCACAGAGGAAGUGAAUCUGAAAGGAAAAUGAGUUAAAAAAAAAAAAAAUAAAAAUCAUAGAUCACCGGGCCAGAAAAAACACCUCCAUGAGCAACAGCACUGCCAGGAAUAACAGCAGGGCAGUGACUGGGGAGCUCAGGGGGAAAGAGCUGUGUGAGUCAAGAUGGGAAAUAGGAUGACAGACGUCAUCUACCCCCACCGUGUGCAUGGAACAGAAAAAACUGCUUGAAAGGAGCUGUGUCUAAGCCAGUGAUUAACCUGCACCUCAACAGAGGGGCAAGAAGUUUCUGAGCACCCUCCUGGCAAUAUUCAUUGGGAACUCCUUGCUUAGAUGUCUGUGCACAAGCUGAAGGACUUCAAGGGCUCUCCCUCUCCUCAGCUCCAAGUGAGGACAGGGAUUAGCACAGUGGGAGGCAGUUCCAGCUCCACAAGAACUGGGAGAUAGAAAACAGCAUCUGAAGCGGGGCAGAAAAAGCCCCUGCGAGGCUGAUGUCUCCAGAGAGAGGGAAGAUCAGGUCUGUGCCUCCUGCAGUUUGGAUGUGAACAGUCUUUGUUCUGCAUCGUUUACUUUACACAACCUCUGGGCAGCUUCAGCAGUUCAUGAACUGCCCAAGCAUCUGCAAAUGUGAUUCUUGACUUCGGGAUCUCUCUGACGCAAACCAAGUUAAAGAGCAAUGAGA
Molecule: long non-coding RNA, 821 nt
Organism: Pseudopipra pipra
Lineage: Eukaryota; Metazoa; Chordata; Aves; Passeriformes; Pipridae
Exons: 2
Source: RefSeq, a predicted model, not a curated record